This 253-nucleotide ribosomal RNA is filed under the name uncultured bacterium. Its description in RNAcentral is "partial 16S ribosomal RNA". It matches the Rfam family "Bacterial small subunit ribosomal RNA", at positions 524 to 776 of the family's 1533-position model. The record is from RNAcentral.
UACGGAGGGGGCUAGCGUUGUUCGGAAUCACUGGGCGUAAAGGGCGCGCAGGCGGCUUAACAAGUUGGAAGUGAAAUCCUAUGGCUUAACCAUAGAACUGCUUUCAAAACUGUUAGGCUAGAGUAUGGUAGAGGAUGGUGGAAUUCCUAGUGUAGAGGUGAAAUUCGUAGAUAUUAGGAGGAACACCGGUGGCGAAAGCGACCAUCUGGGCCAUUACUGACGCUGAGGCGCGAAAGCGAGGGGAGCAAACAGG